GUGGGGAAUCUUCCGCAAUGGACGAAAAUCUGACGGAGCAACGCCGCGUGAGUGAUGAAGGUCUUCGGAUUGUAAAGCUCUGUUAAUCGGGACGAAAGAGCCUAGUGUGAAUAAUGCUAGGAAGUGACGGUACCGGAAUAGAAAGCCACGGCUAACUACGUGCCAGCAGCCGCGGUAAUACGUAGGUGGCAAGCGUUGUCCGGAAUUAUUGGGCGUAAAGCGCGCGCAGGCGGAUCUGCCAGUCUGUCUUAAAAGUUCGGGGCUUAACCCCGUGAUGGGAUGGAAACUACAGAUCUAGAGUAUCGGAGAGGAAAGUGGAAUUCCUAGUGUAGCGGUGAAAUGCGUAGAUAUUAGGAAGAACACCAGUGGCGAAGGCGACUUUCUGGACGAAAACUGACGCUGAGGCGCGAAAGCCAGGGGAGCGAACGGGAUUAGAAACCCGGGUAGUCC
Molecule: ribosomal RNA, 450 nt
Filed under: uncultured bacterium
Lineage: Bacteria
Description: partial 16S ribosomal RNA
Rfam family: Bacterial small subunit ribosomal RNA
Source: RNAcentral